GCACGGAUUACCAUACAAAACACCUAUGUUAGACCCUCACGUGGCCGCAUUAUGCACCAAAAAAAUGCUCUUGGCAGUCUACAAAAAGAUGAACUAGUUCUUCAUAUUCUUCGUGGCCUUGGCUCUGAAUAUAAUGGUUUGGCAGAGGCUAUUCGUGCUCGUGAUACCUCAAUCACAUUUGAUGAACUGCACGAAAAACUGGCUACCAGGGAAACCCAACUCCAACCUCCUUCAUCUGGCUCUCCCUCUCCUUUUCAACCUAUUACGGCCAAUAUUGCCUCUCGAAAUCCACCUGCCACACGAUCAUACAACUUGUCUUCUGGUGGCUCACGGCCCCAUUAUACACCCGAGCAGCGUCCUCCAUCAAAAACUCCCAGACCUCGGACCAACAAUACCCCAGAUUACUCUCCUCGACCAUACCUUGGCAAGUGCCAACUCUGUGGGGAACAAGGUCAUUCGGCCAAACGCUUUACUACCUUUCGUUAGUCACCAGUCAUCUCCAACUCCACUCCUUCACAUCAGCCACGGCAACACCAAGCAAAUCUGGCUGCUCACUCCACUGAUUCGGCUACUCAAGAAUGGUUUCUUGACUCCGGCGCAUCGCACCAUAUAACCAAUGAUCUUGGCAACCUCUCCCUUUACUCUAAUUAUUUUGGGCAGGAUGAUGUUCAAAUUGGUGACGGUAAUGGAUUACACAUCACACACACCGGUCACACUCGUUUUUAAUCUCAUAACUUUGUUUUUU
RNAcentral lists this long non-coding RNA (745 nucleotides) under Olea europaea subsp. europaea. The record is from RNAcentral. Lineage: Eukaryota; Viridiplantae; Streptophyta; Magnoliopsida; Lamiales; Oleaceae.